This 1014-nucleotide long non-coding RNA is filed under the name Anas platyrhynchos platyrhynchos (common mallard). Its description in RNAcentral is "lncRNA (ENSAPLG00000020258.1)". Lineage: Eukaryota; Metazoa; Chordata; Aves; Anseriformes; Anatidae. The record is from RNAcentral.
AUGGGGGCAGCCCCCCCUUCCCUUCCCCAGCGCCCCUCCCCGCCGCCCGCCCCCAGCGCGCCUCCCGCGGCCGGCGGAGCGCGGCGCGGUGCGGGGCCGGCGGGGCUGAGCGGCGGGCGGCCGGGGGGGGGCUCCGCGGCCCCCGGGAGGGCUGGGGGCAGCCGCCCGCCCCCCCUGCACCGCAGCCGGCGCCCGCAUUUCCAACGGCGCCCGCUGCAGCAUCCGGAGCGGACCCCGCAGGUAGGGCGCAGAUCGGGCGGCUCCGGCUCCGGCACGGCUCGGUUUUGGGCAUCCCCGCUUGUUUUUGGGAGAGGGAGGAAGGGGGGAAGCCGACGUCGCUGUCGGAGAGAACUUGGGUCUGGGGUGCGCGCUGUGGGAGCUGGGGGUCCCCCGGGGUACGGUGAGAGCAUCCCGCUGCUGCUCGGGGUGCUGGGCGCCCCGUCCCAACGGGGGGGGGCUGUGGAUAGGCCUCGGCUGGAGGCUGUGGGAGCUGAGCCUGUGGGAGCUGAGCCUCGUCCCUGUCCUCUCCGGGGAGCCUCAACUUCCCCCAGCCCUCCUCACGGUGGGGAGUGGGGUGGGGGCAGUGCUCAGGGGGGAGGAUGCUCGGGAGGAUGCUCGGGAGGAUGCUCCCGGCGCUGCGAGCCCUUCCCAUUCCCAGCCACAAAAAGCGGGGUGGGGGAAGCAGCACAGCCUGGGGGGCACUGCCCCGUGCCCCCCCGGGGUGCUGUGAUUGCCUCCUUCCCCUCUCCCAAACCUCCCCCCAGCGCGGAUGCAGGCGGUGCUGGGGUCCUGUUGCUGCUUUCCCUGGGUGAAUUCUCCCGGGAGCUCUCCCCAGCCGCAGCCCCUGCCCCUUUCUGUCCCCAUCCGUGGGGCAGCCGGGCUUGGCGUGGCUUGGCGUGGGUGUGGGACGUGGAUCCGCAGCGCUGCCCGAGCCCCUGCGGGAGUUGUGCUCAGCCCUGCGCGUCCCCUGGGUGCUCCCCGCCUGGAGGAAUUUGGGGGACGGAGUCCUGGUGA